RNAcentral lists this ribosomal RNA (525 nucleotides) under uncultured bacterium. RNAcentral describes it as "partial 16S ribosomal RNA". It matches the Rfam family "Bacterial small subunit ribosomal RNA", at positions 318 to 865 of the family's 1533-position model. The record is from RNAcentral.
UCCGGGAGGCAGCAUUUUUCAUUCGGGAGCCAGCAGUGGGGAUUCUUUCCCACUGGGCGCAAGCCUGAUCUAGCCAUGCCGCGUGAGUGAUGAAGGCCUUAGGAUGAUAAAGCUCUUUCGCCAGGGAUGAUAAGGACAGUCCCUAGUAAAAAAGCCCCGGUAAAUUCCGUCCCACCACCCGCGGUAAUACGGAGGGGGGAAGCUUUUUUCGGAAUAUCUGGGCGUAAAGCGCACUUGGGGGGAUCUUAAAUUAUGGGGUAAAAUCCCAGGGUUCACCCCAGGAACUCCCUUGAAAACUCUUGUUUUGGAGUUUGAGAGAGGUGAGGGGAAUUCCAAGUGUAGGGGGGAAAUUCGUAGAUAUACGGAGGACCCCCAGUGGGGAGGGCGGCUCCUUGGCUCGAUACUGCCGCGGAGGUGCAAAAGGGGGGGGAGCAACCAGGUUUAGAUCCCCUGUUAUUCCCCCCCUUCCCAAUGAAUGCCAGUCUUCGGGCCGUAUACCUUCGGUGUCCCAGCUAACGCAUAAGC